This 111-nucleotide ribosomal RNA is filed under the name Caerostris darwini. Lineage: Eukaryota; Metazoa; Arthropoda; Arachnida; Araneae; Araneidae. The record is from RNAcentral.
ACGGCCGUACCACGCUGAAUAUACCGGUUCUCGUUAGAUCACCGAAGUCAAGCAUCAUUGGGCGCGGUCAGUACUUGGGUGGGUGACCACCUGGGAACACCGCGUGCCGUU